AACGAACGCUGGCGGCAUGCCUAACACAUGCAAGUCGAACGAGACCUUCGGGUCUAGUGGCGCACGGGUGCGUAACGCGUGGGAACCUGCCCUUAGGUUCGGAAUAGCUCCCCGAAAGGGGUGCUAAUACCGGAUAAUGUCUUCGGACCAAAGAUUUAUCGCCUUUGGAUGGGCCCGCGUUGGAUUAGCUAGUUGGUAGGGUAAAAGCCUACCAAGGCGACGAUCCAUAGCUGGUCUGAGAGGAUGAUCAGCCACACUGGGACUGAGACACGGCCCAGACUCCUACGGGAGGCAGCAGUGGGGAAUAUUGGACAAUGGGCGAAAGCCUGAUCCAGCAAUGCCGCGUGAGUGAUGAAGGCCUUAGGGUUGUAAAGCUCUUUUACCCGGGAUGAUAAUGACAGUACCGGGAGAAUAAGCACCGGCUAACUCCGUG
This 433-nucleotide ribosomal RNA is filed under the name uncultured bacterium. RNAcentral's name for it is "partial 16S ribosomal RNA". It matches the Rfam family "Bacterial small subunit ribosomal RNA", at positions 29 to 507 of the family's 1533-position model. The record is from RNAcentral.